GUAAUGCAGCGCUGAAGUGAUAAAACGGCAAACUAUAAAAGGCAGAGAAACAGGCGCCAAUCGGCAUUCAAUAUUUUAAUAUUCACUCGACUACCUGAACGCAUAAGUUCGUGCUGAGAAAUCAAAAUGCAAUCGAUAUUCCACUUUGUAAUGCUUUUAUUGGCAGCAAUGGCUUUGUUAAGUGGCGUUGCGUUGGCUCAACAACAGGGUGGCGGCAAUCCAGGUGCCCCUGGUGCUCCGCCAGGCGCUCCCGGCAAUCCAGGCAAUCCCGGAAGUCGAAGAUCUUAAAUAUAGAGGCUUAUAUUUUAAAUUAAAAAGCAAACACACGUAUAUAAGUUAAGAGGAAUCUGUUAUGAAAAUGGUACCUUAAUAAAUUUAGUACAAGAAAUAAACUUGUGCCUUACUGGAUGCCGGGUUACUCGGGAAUAAAAUCUAUAA
Anastrepha obliqua is the source of this 438-nucleotide long non-coding RNA. RefSeq lists it as uncharacterized. The transcript has 2 exons. NCBI's taxonomy places the organism in Eukaryota, Metazoa, Arthropoda, Insecta, Diptera, Tephritidae. The record is from RefSeq and is a predicted model, not a curated record.